Long non-coding RNA from Vigna angularis (adzuki bean), 634 nucleotides. RefSeq lists it as uncharacterized. The transcript has 4 exons. The record is from RefSeq and is a predicted model, not a curated record. Lineage: Eukaryota; Viridiplantae; Streptophyta; Magnoliopsida; Fabales; Fabaceae.
GUGUGGACUGUUCGGUGGACCAAAAAGAGGGGUUUUCCGGGUUGUCAGUCCCACCCACACCUUUAUCUUCGUCUGUGUUCCAACCGCCGCACCUCGUGCUGAGUGAAGUGUCAUGGAGGAACUUGGUGAACAAAGUAAAGGACGUGAUAGAAGGAAGAAGGUACGCAGGAUUGUAUUUGACUUCCAUAGAUUUGUUGUUUGACUGUUUGCACUGGACUCUUUAGGGCACAAAAGAAAAGAACGACAAAAGAUUGACAAUGUCAUUGUAUGUAUAGUAAUUGAUGUUUACUUUGUAAUUACAAAUUUAUAAGGGAAGUAUGUUGUUUCCAAGCACAUAAUCUUGCAUUGCUUUUUGGACAUUUGUUGAAUUGUUCGGAAGACAAGAAACCAUCAUUUGAGGGACAACAGUUGCAUACUCCAAUCCAACCAAACAAAUUUGAUUGUGGAGUAAUUGUUUUGAAAAUUAUGGAGUUGUGGGAUGGCAUUGACAAAUAUGAAAGAAACACAAUGCCCAGUUACACAACUGAAGAACUACAACAAUUUAGGGAGCAAUAUGUUUGUCAAUGGAUUUUGGAUGUGGACAACAUGCAGAGGAAUCAAGUGUUGGAAGAUUUAGGCCUUUUGUAGAAUGUUG